Molecule: ribosomal RNA, 277 nt
Filed under: uncultured bacterium
Lineage: Bacteria
Description: partial 16S ribosomal RNA
Rfam family: Bacterial small subunit ribosomal RNA
Source: RNAcentral
AAUCAACGCUGGCGGCGUGCCUAACACAUGCAAGUCGAACGCGAAAGUCCCGCAAGGGAUGAGUAGAGUGGCAAACGGGUGAGUAACACGUGGGUGACCUGCCUUCGAGCGGGGGAUAACGUCCCGAAAGGGACGCUAAUACCGCAUAACAUCCUGCCUUUUAAGAGGUGGAGAUCAAAGCCGGGGAUCGCAAGACCUGGCACUUGAAGAGGGGCCCGCGCCUGAUUAGCUAGUUGGUGGGGUAAUGGCUCACCAAGGCAACGAUCAGUAUCCGGCC